GGACUUUGACUUUGUUUUAAAAGGUUUGA
Molecule: non-coding RNA, 29 nt
Filed under: Mus musculus (house mouse)
Lineage: Eukaryota; Metazoa; Chordata; Mammalia; Rodentia; Muridae
Source: RNAcentral